GACACAAUACUAAUAUUAAUUAUUAAUACUAUAAAAGAAAAAGGCAUUGCAAGUUGUUUGCCGGCAUGUGCGCGGAGGAGCAAGCCAAGGACGAAACAAGCCGAAGAUGAGCGAACUCGAGAAUUCAGAAAUAUGAAAAAGAAGAGAAGUAAAACUGAACUCGAUAAUCUCGUUGAACUCAGGACAAAUUGAAUACUUAAUUUCUCUUCUCUCUAGAAACGUAUAGACGAAACAAUUUCUAUGACUAUUUCUGCUUCUGCUUCAGAUGCAACCUUUUAGUUUUUGCAGUUGCCACUUCAUGUCUUCAUCCCUUCUUCUAAUUCUCCGAUCUCCGAUGUUUCCCUUCCCAAGAAGACCUCAACAACCGAUCUUGGAGGCGCGCAUCACAACCAUGCUUCAUCGCCGAAGAUUUAUUUGCUACUUCUUUUUCACAAUUUCCAAUUGCGACUUGCCGGAAGUUGCAGAAGAGGCUGAAGCUCUCCUUUCACGAGCAACGCGUUUCACCAAUCCAUGACCUGUUCUUCCGGUUGCAGAGAAUCAAACAUGAUAGAUGUGGUUGUAGUCGUCCUCUUGAGUGGUUGAAAAUUGAAAUGAUGAAUAAUUUGAAUUGCAGUUUCCUUGACUUUUCGUAUUAAAAGUCAUUGCCAACUGCCAAGCAAUUUCCUAAAGUUAUGGUAUUCAAGGACAUGUGGUGCUCGAGGAAUACUUUGUAGUUUGUCCAACGGAUACGCACCUCCCUUUUUGGAAUUGCGCGUACGUUUAAAACGCUAAGAUUCUCAGAUCAGAAACGCAGACGAAUCGUUUAAUACUUCACCAGUCACACGACCCUACGUCGUUUAAUACGUUCAAAACUCCAACAGCUUCUUUUGUUACUGUCAAGUCUCUUUAAUUGACCAUUGAAUAAAGGAAAAGGACUGCCGUGUCGUUUAAUACGGGAAAACCGGAAAAAGACUGCCGUUUAAUAAUGUGAAAUUAUUUUGUCCACUUGACCAUUUAAUUUAAUAAAGAAAAACGACCAGUGGAAAGUUGACUCCA
This is a long non-coding RNA of Glycine soja, 1035 nucleotides long. RefSeq lists it as uncharacterized. NCBI's taxonomy places the organism in Eukaryota, Viridiplantae, Streptophyta, Magnoliopsida, Fabales, Fabaceae. The transcript has 2 exons. The record is from RefSeq and is a predicted model, not a curated record.